This 482-nucleotide ribosomal RNA is filed under the name uncultured bacterium. Its description in RNAcentral is "partial 16S ribosomal RNA". It matches the Rfam family "Bacterial small subunit ribosomal RNA", at positions 30 to 507 of the family's 1533-position model. The record is from RNAcentral.
AUUGAACGCUGGCGGCAUGCUUUACACAUGCAAGUCGAACGGUAACAGGCCGCUAGGUGCUGUCGAGUGGCGAACGGGUGAGUAAUGCAUCGGAACGUUCCCCGUCGCGUGGGAUAACUAUUCGGAAGAGUAGCUAAAUCCGCAUACGAAAUCUGUAUGAAAGCGGGGGACCGGAUGGCCUCCGGCGGUUGGAGCGGCCGAUGUCGGUUUUGGUCUUUGGGGGGGGAAAGGCUCUCCCAGACAGCGAUAGGUAUCUCGUCUGAGAGGACGAGCAGGCACACUGGGACUGAGACACGGCCCAGACUCCUACGGGAGGCAGCAGUGGGGAAUGUUGGACAAUGGGCGCAAGCCUGAUCCAGCAAUGCCGCGUGCAGGAAGAAGGCCUUCGGGUUGUAAAAUGCUUUUGUACGGAACGAAACGGCUCUGGUUAAUACCCGGGGCUAGUGACGGUACCGUAAGAAGAAGCACCGGCUAACUACGUG